CGGGAACCUGCGGUCGGCGCGGGACCCGGGCGCGUGCUCCGAGGAAGCCCGGCUCCUGGGAAGGCUUCGGGGCAGGAACCUGACGAGGCUGCGCUUUGCUCCAGAAACGUGCAAAUCACGGCGGACAGCUGCUGCGAGGGACCCCGCAGGAAGGCAGACACUCACCCAGUGGGCCCGAGGCCUCGGCCACUGCCCCGCUGUGAGGGCUCCGCCGGGGCUGGGCAGGCGGCAGCCACGCGCCCUCCUGGGGCCCCAGCUCUAACGCCUGCAACGGCAAACAGCCCUGCUCAGCAGCUGCCCGGAGAGCAGCCCACCCGGUGCCCCAGCACAGCAGAGGGAUGGCAUGGCCUGUCAGAAAUACAGGAGCCCCGACAUUAAAGCCGCCAAACUCGUAAGCAGUACUCGGUAGGAGUUUAUCAUGCACGUGAGAACAGUUCUCAGACUGGGAGCUUUCAAACCCAAGAAUGGUCUGAACUUCAGACGCAUGCCGUCCCCGGAUGGCCUCUGCAGUGACCAAGAGGAGGCUUACCCUUUACAGUGACGGUUCUUAAGGUGGGGGUCCCCCAACGGCAGCGGACUGACUCUGAGUGAUUGUUUUUUGCUGUUUUUAGAACAAUGGCUUACCUUUCUUUUAUGAUUAUCAGCGGCAUAAUUACUUAAUUAUAGUAAAAGUGAUGUGUGUGCUUGUACAGGUCUAAUAAUUUUAACAUAUGUAUGGAUUCCUAAAAGUGCCUAUCAAGACACAGAACAGUUCCACUGUCCUGGGAAAAACUCCCUCAUGUCACCCCUGUAUAGUCAACCCUUCCUCCACCUGUAUGUAACUCUUGCCUGUAAACCACUGGUCUGUUCUCCGUGGCUAUAGUUUUGUCUGUUCAAGAAUGUCAUGGGAGUGGACCUACACAGUAUGUAACCUUUUGAAGUUGUUUUUUUGACAGCAUAAUGCCAAAGUUUUUUUCUUUAUAUUGCCAGGGUGAUAUUCCCUGGUGUGCAAAAUAAACAAUCUGCUUAUCCUUUGCAUGGA
Molecule: long non-coding RNA, 1021 nt
Organism: Manis pentadactyla (Chinese pangolin)
Lineage: Eukaryota; Metazoa; Chordata; Mammalia; Pholidota; Manidae
Exons: 2
Source: RefSeq, a predicted model, not a curated record